This 202-nucleotide long non-coding RNA is filed under the name Elaeis guineensis (African oil palm). Its description in RNAcentral is "long non-coding RNA (EGUI_LNC018923)". Lineage: Eukaryota; Viridiplantae; Streptophyta; Magnoliopsida; Arecales; Arecaceae. The record is from RNAcentral.
UUGCUACCUGGAGUUGUUCGACGAUAGUAUUCUUUUCAGUAGUGAUGGCCGCCACCUUAUCCAUCCACGACUAAUGAAAAUUGGUGAUCUUUCGAUAGCCGCUCUCUAGAGCAUGCAUAUCGUGCACCCACUGAAAGCAGAAGAUAAGUUAGAUCAGAUUAAAAAAAAUGUCAGAAAGCUUACCCCAUGUAUCAUUGGGUAG